RNAcentral lists this ribosomal RNA (704 nucleotides) under uncultured Bilophila sp. Its description in RNAcentral is "bacterial SSU rRNA". It matches the Rfam family "Bacterial small subunit ribosomal RNA", at positions 1 to 637 of the family's 1533-position model. The record is from RNAcentral. Lineage: Bacteria; Pseudomonadati; Thermodesulfobacteriota; Desulfovibrionia; Desulfovibrionales; Desulfovibrionaceae.
CGUNNGGAGCUCUCCCAUAUGGUCGACCUGCAGGCGGCCGCGAAUUCACUAGUGAUUAGAGUUUGAUCCUGGCUCAGAUUGAACGCUGGCGGCGUGCUUAACACAUGCAAGUCGAACGUGAAAGUCCUUCGGGGCGAGUAAAGUGGCGCACGGGUGAGUAACGCGUGGAUAAUCUACCCUUAAGAUGGGGAUAACGGCUGGAAACGGUCGCUAAUACCGAAUACGCUCCCGAUUUUAUCAUUGGGGGGAAAGAUGGCCUCUGCUUGCAAGCUAUCGCUUAAGGAUGAGUCCGCGUCCCAUUAGCUAGUUGGCGGGGUAACGGCCCACCAAGGCAACGAUGGGUAGCCGGUCUGAGAGGAUGACCGGCCACACUGGAACUUGAACACGGUCCAGACUCCUACGGGAGGCAGCAGUGGGGAAUAUUGCGCAAUGGGCGAAAGCCUGACGCAGCGACGCCGCGUGAGGGAUGAAGGUUCUCGGAUCGUAAACCUCUGUCAGGGGGGAAGAAACCCCCUCGUGUGAAUAAUGCGAGGGCUUGACGGUACCCCCAAAGGAAGCACCGGCUAACUCCGUGCCAGCAGCCGCGGUAAUACGGAGGGUGCAAGCGUUAAUCGGAAUCNCUGGGCGUAAAGCGCACGUANGCGGCUUGGUAANNCNNGGGUGAAAUCCCACANCCCAACUGUGGANCUGCCUUUGAUACUGCC